GUUUCGGCUCCUGUUCUGUGGGCGGCUGAGGACCGCCGGCUGCCCGGCUCGGAGAAGAACAGUGCGGCUUGGAGAAGUCUUGGGAAUCAAACGGCAUGAACUUAGAUUCCUGUUACACAACUUUUCAAUGAGGGAGGAGGAUAUCGAAUACCUCACUCAGUCUUCGGGAAUGGAGCCUUCAAAAACACUUUUGUGAGGCCGGGCGCGGUGGCUCACGCAUGUAAUCCCAGCACUUUGGAAGGCCAAGGCGGGCGGAUCACGAGGUCAGGAGUUCAAGCCUUGCCAACAUGGUGAAACCCCGUCUCUACUAAAAAUACACAAAUUAGCUGGGCAUGGUGGCGCGCGCCUGUAAUCUCAGCUACUCGGGAGGCUGAGGCAGGAGAAUCGCUUGAACCGGGACCCGGGAAGCAAAGGUUGCAGUGAGCGGAGAUCGCGCCACUGCACUCCAGCCUGAGCUACAGAGCGAGACUCCGUCUCAAAAAAAAAAAAAAAAAAGAAAGAAAAAGAAAAAAGAAAAAAAAAAAAGAAAGAAAGAAAAGAAAGAAAAAACCCUUGUGAGCCGCCUAAAAACCGUCCUGUGAGCAUCUCAUCCCCACACUGGCGCUGCCACCCGCACGGACCUUCCAACUUCGCACUGUUCCAUUUUCUCUAUGUGCUUUUCAGCCCAUCCUUGGAGUUGCUCUGUAAGAAGGACUUUCGGAGUGAAACUCCACAGUGCGGUUCAAAGACACGCUUAGGAUGCCCCGGGAUGGAGAGAGGACUGAGCUUGGACUGGAAUUCCUGGAACAGACGAGGGCUUGUGAGCUUGUCCCAGGCACUGAGGACAGCAUACUCUUCCCGACAAGGGCAUCUGGGUCGAGAGAAGGUGGAGCGGGUCUUCGGCAAAGGCGAAACCCUGGAGAACGCUGCCCCACCCCACCCUGUAAGCGUGGACGAGUAAUAAUCUCCCGGCCUCAGUUUCCACCCUCUGCUUAUAUCAAUUUUAAGAAGCUUUAUUUUUUCUAAGAUGAUUUUCCCUACAUAUUUCUUGUCUCCCUCACUGCCAUUCCCGCCCCUCCCCCCCAAAAUACAUUGUAAAUCUUUUUCCUCCUACGGUUAAUUUUAAAGAACCACAAAAGUUUGCAUAAGACAGAAUUUACCUGCCCAUAUAUUUCUGUUGAAGGUGGAAAAUUGUUUUUACGUGGCAAG
This 1188-nucleotide long non-coding RNA is filed under the name Homo sapiens (human). RNAcentral describes it as "non-protein coding lnc-RASA1-6:4". Lineage: Eukaryota; Metazoa; Chordata; Mammalia; Primates; Hominidae. The record is from RNAcentral.